RNAcentral lists this ribosomal RNA (433 nucleotides) under uncultured bacterium. Its description in RNAcentral is "partial 16S ribosomal RNA". It matches the Rfam family "Bacterial small subunit ribosomal RNA", at positions 29 to 507 of the family's 1533-position model. The record is from RNAcentral.
AACGAACGCUGGCGGCAUGCCUAACACAUGCAAGUCGAACGAGACCUUCGGGUCUAGUGGCGCACGGGUGCGUAACGCGUGGGAACCUGCCCUUAGGUUCGGAAUAACUCCCCGAAAGGGGUGCUAAUACCGGAUAAUAUCUUCGGACCAAAGAUUUAUCGCCUUUGGAUGGGCCCGCGUUGGAUUAGCUAGUUGGUAGGGUAAAAGCCUACCAAGGCGACGAUCCAUAGCUGGUCUGAGAGGAUGAUCAGCCACACUGGGACUGAGACACGGCCCAGAUUCCUACGGGAGGCAGCAGUGGGGAAUAUUGGACAAUGGGCGAAAGCCUGAUCCAGCAAUGCCGCGUGAGUGAUGAAGGCCUUAGGGUUGUAAAGCUCUUUUACCCGGGAUGAUAAUGACAGUACCGGGAGAAUAAGCUCCGGCUAACUCCGUG